AAGGGCACCACAAGAACGCGUGGAGCAUGUGGCUUAAUUUGACUCAACGCGGGGAAUCUUACCGGGUCCGGACACACUGAGGAUUGACAGGCGCAAGGAGCUUCGGCUCUGCAAAUUUGCUAGUCCUUUCAUGAUUGUGUGAUAGGUGGUGCAUGGCCGUUCUUAGUUCGUGGAAUAAUCUGUCUGCUUAAUUGCGUUUUUUCAAUUGUGCCUUGAUACCCAACAUGCCUUCUUUUGCAAUAAGGUUAGUUCGCUUUUCAGUGGGCUUCCUUGCGGCAUCUGUAAGGUGGGUUUUUCAGGGCCUUCUGAAACGAACGAGACCCCAACCCUUCUUUUUCGAUGUUAUGCAACGACUUGUUGCUACUUUUGUGGUUUUCAGUUUCGGUGUGGUUUGAUCCUUCGGGUGAGGGCUCAUUGUUUACUGGCUAUCACUAUACGACGUUGUCAACAGAAGGGGGCUGUUACAUUUUAAUGUAAAGGAAGGUUGGGGCAAUAACAGGUCUGUGAUGCCCUUAGAUGUUCCGGGCUGCACACGUGCUACAAUGAUCUAUGCACUAAGCAUCUUUUAGUUCCGUAAUGUGCGAUUUUCUUUUUGAAGAUCGACGCAUACGCGGCAUGCCUACUUCGAAAGCUAGUAGGUAAUCACUUGGUAAUAUAGAUUUCCUUUGCAUUGUAACAUCAGUCUCUACUUGUAGGACUUGGUGUUACGUGUUUUCAAAUUAUGACUUCUUAGUGGGGACAGACCAUUGUUAAUUGUUGGUCUCGCUUUAACUAGGAAUGCCUUGUACAGGUGGUUCAACAGACCACCUGGAAUACGUCCCUGCCCUUUGUACACACCGCCCGUCA
Molecule: ribosomal RNA, 846 nt
Filed under: Foraminifera environmental sample
Lineage: Eukaryota; Foraminifera
Description: SSU rRNA
Rfam family: Eukaryotic small subunit ribosomal RNA
Source: RNAcentral